GGCAUGGCGGGCAGCCUGAUCCAGCCAUCCCGCGUGUGUGAUGAAGGUCUUCGGGUUGUAAAGCACUUUUGGGUUGGGAGGAAGGGGCUUAUUCUAAUACGUUGCGGCUUUGACGGUUCCUGCAGAAUAAGCACCGGCUAACUCCGUGCCAGCAGCCGCGGUAAU
RNAcentral lists this ribosomal RNA (165 nucleotides) under uncultured bacterium. RNAcentral describes it as "partial 16S ribosomal RNA". It matches the Rfam family "Bacterial small subunit ribosomal RNA", at positions 367 to 524 of the family's 1533-position model. The record is from RNAcentral.